Molecule: transfer RNA, 85 nt
Filed under: Chloroflexota bacterium
Lineage: Bacteria; Bacillati; Chloroflexota
Description: tRNA-Ser
Rfam family: tRNA
About the family: Transfer RNA (tRNA) molecules are approximately 80 nucleotides in length. Their secondary structure includes four short double-helical elements and three loops (D, anti-codon, and T loops). Further hydrogen bonds mediate the characteristic L-shaped molecular structure. tRNAs have two regions of fundamental functional importance: the anti-codon, which is responsible for specific mRNA codon recognition, and the 3' end, to which the tRNAs corresponding amino acid is attached (by aminoacyl-tRNA synthetases). tRNAs cope with the degeneracy of the genetic code in two manners: having more than one tRNA (with a specific anti-codon) for a particular amino acid; and 'wobble' base-pairing, i.e. permitting non-standard base-pairing at the 3rd anti-codon position.
Source: RNAcentral
GGAGAGGUCGCCUAGAGGCUUAGGGCGCACGCCUGGAAAGCGUGUAGGGGGCAACCCCACGUGGGUUCGAAUCCCACCCUCUCCG